CCUAACCGAAAAAACCUUAACCGGGGCUUGAACAGGGUGGAGAAGCCCUUGCGAAAAGCGAAGGGGUGCCGUCCUCUGGACGGAAAUCCCACCACGGGUGGUGCAUGGCCGUCGUCCAGCUCGUGUCGUGAGAUGUUGGGUUAAGUCCCGCAACGAGCGCAACCCCUGCCCUUAGUUGCUACUCCGAAUGGGGAGCACUCUAAGAGGACUGCCGGCGAUAAGCCGGAGGAAGGUGGGGAUGACGUACAGGUCAGUAUGCCCUUUAUGCCCGGGGCAACACAGGCGCUACAGUGGCCAGGACAAUGGGAUGCAACCCAGCAAUGGGGAGCAAAUCCCCAAAACCUGGUCAUGGUGCAGAUUGAGGGCUGAAACUCGCCCUCAUGAAGCCGGAAUCGGUAGUAAUGGCGGAUCAGCUAAGCCGCCGUGAAUACGUUCUCGGGCCUUGCACACACCGCCCGUCACGCCACGGAAGUCAGUCUUCCCGGAAGCUCCCGAGCUAACCCGCAAGGGAGGCAGGGAACGAUGGGAAGGCUGGUAACUGGGGCGAAGUCGUAACAAGUAACCCGGCGGCCGCCGACCAAGGCGAAUCUCAAUACCACCACUGCGCCCUCGACAUCACUAAGCCCAAUCC
This 631-nucleotide ribosomal RNA is filed under the name uncultured bacterium. RNAcentral's name for it is "bacterial SSU rRNA". It matches the Rfam family "Bacterial small subunit ribosomal RNA", at positions 955 to 1533 of the family's 1533-position model. The record is from RNAcentral.